CGCCUCUGCCACGGCGAUCGGCGCCGCCGUCGCUAAAGUGGGCACGGGCGCCGGACCCGCGUAGCGCACAGCCGAACACGAGGUCGCCCACGGUCGCUGCUGUUGCCACAGUGCCGCCAUGUCGCCGCUGUCUAUUUUUUUUUCUCGCUCCUUUUUCGAUUGUUUGCUGGGCGCGUCUGGCCUGUUUUCUCUGCUGUCUCGGUUCGGCGCCAGGCAACCGUCCACAGCGCAGACCUCCUUUUUUUUAUACACAAAAAAU
RNAcentral lists this long non-coding RNA (259 nucleotides) under Pandoravirus salinus. RNAcentral describes it as "putative ncRNA". The record is from RNAcentral.